RNAcentral lists this ribosomal RNA (1443 nucleotides) under metagenome. Its description in RNAcentral is "bacterial SSU rRNA". It matches the Rfam family "Bacterial small subunit ribosomal RNA". The record is from RNAcentral.
AGAGUUUGAUCUUGGCUCAGGACGAACGCUGGCGGCGUGCCUAACACAUGCAAGUCGAACGCCCCGCAAGGGGAGUGGCAAACGGGUGAGUAACACGUAAGCAACCUACCUCAAAGACCGGCACAACUAGUCGAAAGACUGGCUAAUUCCGGAUGUGUCCGGAGGGUCGUAUGAUCUUCCGAGUAAACCCAGCAAUGGGCUUUGAGACGGGCUUGCGUCCUAUCAGCUAGUUGGCGGGGUAAUGGCCCACCAAGGCGAUGACGGGUAGCUGGUCUGAGAGGACGACCAGUCACAAGGGAACUGAGACACGGUCCCUACUCCUACGGGAGGCAGCAGUGAGGAAUUUUCCACAAUGGACGAAAGUCUGAUGGAGCGACGCCGUGUGUAUGAUGAAGUCCUUCGGGAUGUAAAGUACUGUCAGUGGGGACGAUAUUGACUGUACCCACAGAGGAAGGCCCGGCUAACUACGUGCCAGCAGCCGCGGUAAUACGUAGGGGCCAAGCGUUGUCCGGAAUUAUUGGGCGUAAAGGGCGCGUAGGCGGCUUGAUAAGUCAGAUGUUAAAUCUACAGGCUCAACCUGUAGCCGCAUCUGAUACUGUUUUGCUGGAGAGUGGUAGAGGAAAGCGGAACUUCCGGUGUAGCGGUGAAAUGCGUAGAUAUCGGAAGGAACACCAGUGGCGAAGGCGGCUUUCUGGACCAUUUCUGACGCUGAGGCGCGAAAGCCAGGGGAGCAAACGGGAUUAGAUACCCCGGUAGUCCUGGCCCUAAACUAUGUUCAUUGGGUGUUAGAGGUAUCGACCCCUCUAGUGCCGUAGCUAACGCGUUAAAUGAACCGCCUGGGGAUUACGACCGCAAGGUUAAAACUCAAAAGAAUUGACGGGGGCCCGCACAAGCGGUGGAGCAUGUGGUUUAAUUCGAUCUACGCGAACAACCUUACCUGGGCUUGACAUGCUGAUAGUAUUGAACCGAAAGGGGAUAGAUCCAUAGCAAUAUGGAAGUCAGCACAGGUGCUGCAUGGCUGUCGUCAGUUCGUGUCGUGAGAUGUUUGGUUAAGUCCAACAACGAACGCAACCCCCAUCUCUAGUUGACAGCGUUAAGUCGGUCACUCUAGCGAAACUGCCCCUGAUGAAGGGGAGGAAGGUGGGGAUGAGGUCAAGUCAUCAUGGCCUUUAUGCCCAGGGCUACACACGUGCUACAAUGCAGUGUACAAAGGGAUGCGAAUCCGUAAGGAAGAGCAAAUCUCAAAAAACACUGCUCAGUUCGGAUUGAAGGCUGCAAUUUGCCUUCAUGAAGCUGGAAUCGCUAGUAACCGCAGAUCAGCGUGCUGCGGUGAAUACGUUCUCGGGCCUUGUACACACCGCCCGUCACACCAUGGAAGCCAGAAACACCUAAAGUCUCCGGUUCGCCGGGGCCUAGGGUGGUGCUGGUGACUGGGGUGAAGUC